CCUACGGGAGGCAGCAGUGGGGAAUAUUGGGCAAUGGGCGCAAGCCUGACCCAGCAACGCCGCGUGAAGGAAGAAGGCUUUCGGGUUGUACACUUCUUUUGUCAGGGAAGAGUAGAAGACGGUACCUGACGAAUAAGCCACGGCUAACUACGUGCCAGCAGCCGCGGUAAUACGUAGGUGGCAAGCGUGGUACGGAUUUACUGGGUGUAAAGGGCGUGUAGCCGGGUUGACAAGUCAGAUGUGAAAUCCUGCGGCUUAACCGCAGAACUGCAUUUGAAACUGUUGAUCUUGAGUACUGGAGAGUCAGAUGGAAUUCCUAGUGUAGCGGUGAAAUGCGUAGAUAUUAGGAGGAACACCAGGGGCGAAGGCGGUCUGCUGGACAGCAACUGACGGUGAGGCGCGAAAGCGUGGGGAGCAAACAGGAUUAGAUACCCGAGUAGUC
RNAcentral lists this ribosomal RNA (442 nucleotides) under uncultured bacterium. RNAcentral describes it as "partial 16S ribosomal RNA". It matches the Rfam family "Bacterial small subunit ribosomal RNA", at positions 338 to 795 of the family's 1533-position model. The record is from RNAcentral.